RNAcentral lists this long non-coding RNA (235 nucleotides) under Mytilus galloprovincialis (Mediterranean mussel). Lineage: Eukaryota; Metazoa; Mollusca; Bivalvia; Mytilida; Mytilidae. The record is from RNAcentral.
CUUAUAAAGUAUGUAUUUAAGGAGGUAGACCUUGGUCCAGGGAGAUAACUCUUUAAGUCAGUUAAGCGUUUGUAAAAGUCAAGUUCAUCAAUGUAUUUUAAGCAUUUACCUGAAACAGAUUGAAAAUAAUCUAUGUAACCUAGAAGCUUAGAAUAUAUUUUUGAAAAUGGUUGACACAAACGUACUGAUGAUUUUAAGAGUUAUUUCCCUUAACCUAGGUCUACCUCCUUAAAAG